RNAcentral lists this ribosomal RNA (253 nucleotides) under uncultured bacterium. Its description in RNAcentral is "partial 16S ribosomal RNA". It matches the Rfam family "Bacterial small subunit ribosomal RNA", at positions 524 to 776 of the family's 1533-position model. The record is from RNAcentral.
UACAGAGGUCUCAAGCGUUGUUCGGAUUCAUUGGGCGUAAAGAGCGCGUAGGCGGCCCUGUAAGUCCGCUGUGAAAGUCAAGGGCUCAACCCUUGGAUGCCGGUGGAUACUGCAGGGCUAGAGUUCGGAAGAGGCGAGUGGAAUUCCUGGUGUAGCGGUGAAAUGCGCAGAUAUCAGGAGGAACACCGAUGGCGAAGGCAGCUCGCUGGGACGAUACUGACGCUGAGGCGCGAAAGCGUGGGGAGCAAACAGG